CUUCACUCUGACCAUCAGCGGAGUCCAGACUGAAGAUGCUGCAGUUUACUACUGUCAGAGUGCUCAUUACAUCAAUGGUCCGUGGUUGUUCACACAGUGAAAAAGCGUCGUACAAAAACCUCCCUCAGUCAGACUGAACAGAAACUGAACUGACUGCUGCAGCUGGAAGCUACUGCAGAGACUGAUACACUUCACUGAGGACACACACACACACACACACACACACACACACACACACACACACACACACACACACACACACAAACUAAACAGUCUGCAGGAGAACAGUGGAAAUGAAUCUGUAUAUGGUACUGAACUGAUUAAGGGAAUAGACACUUUUCAUGGCAGACAUUUUGACUUGCCAAAGCAGGAAAAGCACAGGUGUAUUUAAUUACAUUAAUGAUGGCUUCAUUACAUUUAGGUGAGCCAGUCUCAGAGCUCUGGUACUGUGCAUGCUCACUCACUGAAAGGCCUUACUGGGACACUGAAUGAAAUUGGGCCAGUGUUAAUGUUAUUAUUAAACCUGUGAAUGACCUGCUUUGAUCACUCAAAAUGUCUGCUGUGAAAAGGGUCUAUUUGGAAAGGUGAGUGAGUGGGCAGGGAAGAUCUGAUGGUGCAAAGGGCGGAGUGAGAGUUACUGCAGGACAGGAGAGAGUGGCUGGAUCUGGAAUGACAGGAGAGUAAGUAGAAUCAGAAUCAGAAUCAGAAUUGGGUUUAUUGCCAAGUAAGUUUUUACACAAACAAGAAAUUUGUCUUGGUGCAUUGGUGCAUAAAAAUCACACAAAAAAUAAGUACUUUUUAAAAUAUAAAUAAAUAAAGAUAAGGAUGAAGAUAGAAAGAUCUAGAAGUAACCGAGCAAUGCAACAGAAAUAAUGUUAUAAUCUAACUGAAAGAAUAAACUAGAAUCUUGUUUUAUUUGUUGAAACAUCCUUCUUUCAAAUUGGAUCAGAAUCAGAAUCAGAAAUACUUUAAUAAUAAUGUGGGAAAGGCCACCCAUCCCCUGAAACAGAUUUAACAAACAGAAAACUUCAAUGAGGGAGAAAAUAUUUUAUUAUCCUUUGGAAGACAUGUUUAGGAAUAUUCUGAUUCUAUUCAUUUCACACCAAUAACUGUAUGUAUGGUAUCAAAUCAGAACAUGCAAAAUGCACCUUGGUGAUAAAGACUAUUGAGUUCAAUAUAAUUUAACAGAAUAAUAUCCACCCUUACUGCUUUAUGAAAACCAGUUGCUGUUCUCAAUCACAGGUCAAACCCAUCAUAUUAUAGAUCAUUUAAAUAGUCAAUGCUCUCAGCACUGAGGGGGAAACACCAUGAUAUGUUGAGGACAGCUACAGUUCACUGACUCUGUGUGUUUGCAUAUGUGUCCUUCCUCUCUGCUCCCAGCCGUUAAGAGGCCAGUGUUGAUCAGUGGCUGUCCAGGCCUUUCAGAGCCACUGACACGCCGGCAGCACAAUGAGGAUGUCACUGACUCUACUGCUGGCCACCCUGGGGCUCCUUGUUCAGGAUUCAUCAGGAGAAGUCAUUGUGACUCAGUCUCCUAAAGCUCAGUCUGUUGUUCCAGGACAGACUGUCUCUAUCAGAUGUAACGUUAGUCCAAGCACUGGUUACUGCUUCAGCUGGUACCUUCAGAAACCUGGAGAAUCUCCUAAACUCCUAAUUACUUGUGGUUCAACCCGUCAGUCUGGAGUUUCAGAUCGUUUCAGUGGGAGCGGAUCUGGUAGUGAUUACACUCUGACCAUCAGUGGAGUCCAGACUGAAGAUGCAGCAGUUUACUACUGUCAGAGUGCUCAUUACAUCAACAGUCAGUAUGUGUUCACACAGUGAAAAAGCGUCGUACAAAAAC
Non-coding RNA from Dicentrarchus labrax (European seabass), 1840 nucleotides. The record is from the annotation of a RefSeq genome assembly. NCBI's taxonomy places the organism in Eukaryota, Metazoa, Chordata, Actinopteri, Moronidae.